CUUAAGGUCAGAGGUACCGCGGUGGCUGCGGCUGGUCAGUUGUGCUGGCAUCCACAGAUAACAGCUGAUCACGGGUAACAGCUGGUCCUGGGCCUUUGUGAAGUCUGCACAAUGCGUGUGUUUACUUCGUUGUCCUCUGGAGAGGGAUAGGGCCCUUCAAGUCAGGUGCAGCACAGCUUGACUGCGUCUCAAGAACUUGAAAAAGCAAUAAACAAGAGUGGUUUAGACACAGAUACAGAAAAAUAAAGUUCUACUUGUUCAGAUUCAGGGUGCGUGGAGAAGAAAAACAAAUCAACAAAUCAUUUGGAUACCCAAAAAAAUAAACAGUACUUGAAUCAACUGUGCACGAUGACAGCACAAAACCGAAAAGAUAUUGACGUUGGAAGAGCAACCUCUUAAAAGCUCUCUGAAAUUUUGUGACUGCUUUGUCUUUUGCCUUCACUGUGAUCAGUAUAGGCGAAUAAUUAAAAUAGCUGAAUUUGAAACAUCAUAGAGUGUCUGAGAGUUAAGGCAGCUAACAAAGAUGUGUUUUUUAUCAUAGCAGCAAUGCAACAGCCUUUGAGUGUCACGUGCUGCAGCCACAAAAAGAAGAGUAUUGCCUUGAAACCUGUCACCUUACCUGAGCUCCCAUGUCAUUCUCAGUUGUUUUGUAUUGUGCUACUCGUCUUUAGGAAAAUCUGUAGGUUAGUGCGUGGGAAGUUGACUUAGAGUUUAUUCAGGGUCUGGUGUAAGAGGAGUUUAUACAGGCUGCUGCUAUAGCCCUGUUGGACUGUUCUGUGGGUAUCACUGUAGCACGGAAAGAUCAGGAUUGAGAGAAGGCAGAUGAAGGUCAUGACAGUAAAGCGUUGCUAAAUGAGGGUUAUUCUUUGUGACAUCUGUUUUUAAGUAUAUAUGAAACUACACUGUAGAGCAAGAUUCCAUCUCAAAGCUGAGAUAUCUGUUGCCAAAAUUCAUUUAAGAGAGGGCAGGGCUGGCUGCAGGGCUUGCC
Molecule: long non-coding RNA, 988 nt
Organism: Lagopus muta (rock ptarmigan)
Lineage: Eukaryota; Metazoa; Chordata; Aves; Galliformes; Phasianidae
Exons: 3
Source: RefSeq, a predicted model, not a curated record